This is a non-coding RNA of Rattus norvegicus (Norway rat), 1324 nucleotides long. The record is from RefSeq and is a predicted model, not a curated record. NCBI's taxonomy places the organism in Eukaryota, Metazoa, Chordata, Mammalia, Rodentia, Muridae.
AUUCAUUUUGCCACCUAGAGAGAAGUGACAGCAUGUCAGAAAAUCAGAUGAUCACACAUCCUAAGGAUUUAGACAUGAAUGGAACAGAAUGCAUGGAUCAAAGAACAGAGAACAAUGGGUAUCCAGACGUCUCAGCAGUCAGAGAAAAAUAAACCAUCCUGCAUGUGAAGAGCUCCUGUGGACCAGGCAAGGGGAAACAUUAAGAGCAUUGUGACCUGUUGCAAGAUGGCACCAUGGUAUAAUGUCAAUCAAAUUUUCAAGUCUGUAGGUCAUAGACUGUACAAGAGUGAAUUUAGUUUUCUGUCAGACAGUAAUGACUGAUGACAAUGUAGCUAUGAAUUAUGCUCUUGAAAAUGUUUUAUCUGUAAAAUUUUCAAAAUUUUGGAGGUUGUGGUUGACUGUGUUACCUCACAUUGAGAAUGUAAGCAUUGCUAAGACAGAAUAGUGUAAGGUUAUUAUUCCUACUUUCCAUGUAUUCAUAAAAGUUCACAGAAUCAUUAAACUAACCGCCAUGUCAGCUAUUUUAUACAAGUAAACACAAUGCUAAUCUCUAAUGAAAUAUUCAUUUUUACCAUAAAUGAUUGUGUAUUAUAUGUGUAUGAGAUGCCAUUUUAUCAUGUAAAGAACAUGUGACUUCCAUCUUUUGCUGUACAGUCAGUGCUUCAUAAUUCUGCAAUAUAUAUACAUAUAUAUAUAUAUAUAUAUAUAUAUAUAUAUAUAUAUAUUGGAAGGUGUAAUUGAAUUCAUUGCAUUUCCUAACUAGGUAUGUCUCUCUUUAGCUCAUUUAUGUGCUUUUAUAGUUUGUGAAAAGUAUUCCAUAAUAAGUUUAGAUAUUAUUAACCCUGUUCUGUAAUCACCAUAGCAUUAGAACUGUGUUUGGAGAUUUAGUAGACACACCUGUUUUAUGGACAAAAAGUGACUAUAAUUUUAUAAUAUAUAUAUAUGUAUUUACAUUGUAUAUCAACUUCUCUUUACACUAAGUCUAAAAUUAUUUACAAAUAAAUAGUUCAGUCUCUUUUGUCAUGAAGAGAGGAUGGCAAGUAGAUGUGAUACUCAAUUUUUUGUUAAGCACAGUGGGUCAUAAAAGAGAAGACUACAGUGUGAGUGAUGUGUGGGAGUUUUGUCCAGUAUGGACGCUGAAGACAAGGACAGACUGAAAAUUUGGCAAGGACAACACAAGGAAGCAUGAAAUUUCAGCACUAUAUUGAGAAAAGUUCAAGCUUAAUUCUAAUCUAAGUUUUUGUAGGAACUUUACAUUUAAUAAAUUUGUAUUUCAAGUGACUGCUUGUAACAAAAUUGUGGACAGUAAACCUAAGAGUAAGAG